Molecule: ribosomal RNA, 443 nt
Filed under: uncultured bacterium
Lineage: Bacteria
Description: partial 16S ribosomal RNA
Rfam family: Bacterial small subunit ribosomal RNA
Source: RNAcentral
CCUACGGGAGGCAGCAGUGGGGAAUAUUGGGCAAUGGGCGCAAGCCUGACCCAGCAACGCCGCGUGAAGGAAGAAGGCUUUCGGGUUGUAAACUUCUUUUCUCAGGGACGAAGCAAGUGCCGGUACCUGAGGAAUAAGCCACGGCUAACUACGUGCCAGCAGCAGCGGUAAUACGUAGUUGGCAAGCAUUAUGCGGAUUUACUGGGUGUAAAGGUCGUGUAGGCGGGACUGCAAGUCAGAUGGGAAAACCACGGGCUCAACCUGUGGCCUGCAUUUGAAACUGUAGUUCUUGAGUACUGGAGAGGCAGACGGAAUGCGUAGUGUAGCGGUGAAAUGCGUAGAUAUUAGGAGGAACACCAGUGGCGAAGGCGGUCUGCUGGACAGCAACUGACGCUGAGGCGCGAAAGCGUGGGGAGCAAACAGGAUUAGAUACCCGGGUAGUC